GUUUAAAAAUCCUGAGUUGAGUUCAAUAUCGUAGCGGCUACGUAGCUGCUAUCAAUAUCUUUGUAGCAACUAGUCUAUAGCUACACGUUCAAUAGUCAAAAUCUACGUAGCAGCUACGAUAUUGAUCUCAACCCAGGACUCCGAAGUGUAUUUGUGGAUUUAAUUUCCGCAUGAACCACCAAAAGCCGAAUAUUUGAAGGCCUAUAGUUUAUAAGAACUGCAAUAGCUGAUUAAAAGUUAAAAAUGAUUGUUCAGAAUUGUACGUUUAAUAAUUUCAUCUGCCGACAUGAUUGCAGAUAAAAAAAAAGUCGAAAAUAAAAAAAAAUAUGAGGGAAUACACGUGCAUUUAAUAAUUUUAUGCCUUAACG
Molecule: long non-coding RNA, 368 nt
Filed under: Mytilus galloprovincialis (Mediterranean mussel)
Lineage: Eukaryota; Metazoa; Mollusca; Bivalvia; Mytilida; Mytilidae
Source: RNAcentral